This 1282-nucleotide ribosomal RNA is filed under the name Rhytismataceae sp. Q-BL141. RNAcentral describes it as "eukaryotic LSU rRNA". The stretch from base 642 to 1282 matches the Rfam family "Eukaryotic large subunit ribosomal RNA", at positions 1 to 618 of the family's 3401-position model. Lineage: Eukaryota; Fungi; Ascomycota; Leotiomycetes; Rhytismatales; Rhytismataceae. The record is from RNAcentral.
UUCGUAGGUGACCUGCGGAAGGACAUUAUUGAAUACGAUUGGUACUGAUGCUGGCCCUUCACUGGGCAUGUGCUCGUCCAUCUAUUUAUCUUCUCUUGUGCACAUCUUGUAGUCUUGGAUGAACCCUUGCGCAUUCGUGCGGUCUGGGAGUUGCGAAUUAAAACCUUGCUCCUCCUGCUUGUCCAAGGCUAUGUUUUCAUAUACACUAUAAAGUUACAGAAUGUCAAUUAACGACUUGUGCUUGUCACGGUCAUUAAACCUAUACAACUUUCAGCAACGGAUCUCUUGGCUCUCCUAUCGAUGAAGAACGCAGCGAAAUGCGAUAAGUAAUGUGAAUUGCAGAAUUCAGUGAAUCAUCGAAUCUUUGAACGCACCUUGCGCCCUUUGGUAUUCCGAAGGGCAUGCCUGUUUGAGUGUCAUUAAAUUAUCAACCUUGCUCGCUUUUACCGGCUUGAGUUAGGCUUGGAUGUGAGGGUCUUUGCUGGCUUCCUUUAGUGGAUGGUCUGCUCCCUUUAAAUGCAUUAGUGGGAUCUCUUGUGGACCGUCACUUGGUGUGAUAAUUAUCUAUGCCAUCUUGACUUUGAAGCAAACUAAUGGGAACCUGCUCAUAACCGUCCUUUCAAGGACAACUCUUGACAUUUUGACCUCAAAUCAGGUAGGACUACCCGCUGAACUUAAGCAUAUCAAUAAGCGGAGGAAAAGAAACUAACAAGGAUUCCCCUAGUAACUGCGAGUGAAGCGGGAAAAGCUCAAAUUUAAAAUCUGGCGGUCCCUGUGGCCGUCCGAGUUGUAAUUUAGAGAAGUGUUAUCCGCGCUGGACCGUGUACAAGUCUCCUGGAAUGGAGCGUCAUAGAGGGUGAGAAUCCCGUCUUUGACACGGACUGCCAGGGCAUUGUGAUGCGCUCUCAAAGAGUCGAGUUGUUUGGGAAUGCAGCUCAAAAUGGGUGGUAAAUUCCAUCUAAAGCUAAAUAUUGAGGAGAGACCGAUAGCGAACAAGUACCGUGAGGGAAAGAUGAAAAGAACUUUGGAAAGAGAGUUAAACAGUACGUGAAAUUGCUGAAAGGGAAACGCUUGAAGUCAGUCGCGCCGUUCAGGACUCAGCCUUGCUUUGCUUGGUGUACUUCCUGUUUGGUGGGUCAGCAUCAAUUUUGGUCGGUGGAUAAAGGCUUAGAGAAUGUGGCAUCUUCGGGUGUGUUAUAGCUCUGGGUCGCAUACAUCGGCUGGGAUUGAGGAACUCAGCACGCCGCAAGGCCGGGGACUUGUCCCACGUACGUGCUUAGGA